CUACGGGAUGCUCCAGUGGGGAAUAUUGGGCAAUGGGCGCAAGCCUGACCCAGCUAUGCCGCGUGAAUGAUGAAGGCCUUAGGGUUGUAAAGUUCUUUUAGAUGGGACGAUAAUGACGGUACCAUCAGAAAAAGCUCCGGCUAACUUCGUGCCAGCAGCCGCGGUAAUACGAAGGGAGCAAGCGUUGCUCGGAUUUAUUGGGCGUAAAGGGUGUGUAGGCGGUUUUGUAAGUUAGAUGUGAAAGCCCCGGGCUUAACCCGGGAACUGCAUUUAAGACUGCAUUACUUGAAGUUCGAAGAGGUUAGCAGAAUUCCCAGUGUAGAGGUGAAAUUCGUAGAUAUUGGGAAGAAUACCAAUGGCGUAGGCAGCUAACUGGUCGAUACUUGACGCUGAGGCACGAAAGCGUGGGGAGCAAACAGGAUUAGAUACCCUCGUAGUC
RNAcentral lists this ribosomal RNA (439 nucleotides) under uncultured bacterium. RNAcentral's name for it is "partial 16S ribosomal RNA". It matches the Rfam family "Bacterial small subunit ribosomal RNA", at positions 339 to 795 of the family's 1533-position model. The record is from RNAcentral.